UUGCCUAUUGCAACCACUAUAUACUUUUCACUUAGUAAUGGCGAACGAAGGGGGAACAGCUUGGGUUGGAAACUAAGGCUUCGGUCUUGGGUUGUGACCUGCAGACACAGCACCAACAGCGGCGCAAGCGUAAGCCUCUUGGAAAAGAGCAUUCACUCGGGUGAGAAUCCUGUGCGUCGCUUGACGUCCGCUGCGUACGGUGCGUGCUCUUAAAGUCACGCUCCUUGGAAUUGGAGCGUAAAUUAGGUGGUAAAUUUCAUCUACAGCGAAAUAUAAGCUCGAGACCGAUAGCAAACAAGUACCAUGAGGGAAAGAUGAAAAGGACUUUGGAAAGAGAGUUAAAAGUGCUUGAAAUCGCUGAAGGGGAAGCGAAUGGAACCAAGACCCUGGCUGAGACUGCUGCGAGUUUUCACUAGCCUUGUGCGUGAAUGCGUAAGCUUUUCGCACAUACGUGAAGGAAUGCUCGCGGUGUUUCUCAGCUUGCUCGUCAGCUGCAACGCUCGCUUGAGGAUGGCCCUUGUCGCGCGCGGCUCUUCUGCGGAAUUGCUUCGGCGCCUCUGGGGAUUCAGGCGAGCGUGUCUUGCUGAUUAAAUGGUUCUCUUCGACCCGUCUUGAAACCGGAAACCAAUGGUUA
Molecule: ribosomal RNA, 634 nt
Filed under: Karenia mikimotoi
Lineage: Eukaryota; Dinophyceae; Gymnodiniales; Kareniaceae
Description: LSU rRNA
Rfam family: Eukaryotic large subunit ribosomal RNA
Source: RNAcentral